This 523-nucleotide long non-coding RNA is filed under the name Sus scrofa (pig). RNAcentral's name for it is "lncRNA (ENSSSCG00065024989.1)". Lineage: Eukaryota; Metazoa; Chordata; Mammalia; Artiodactyla; Suidae. The record is from RNAcentral.
GCCGGGGCGGGGCCGCGCCGGGCGGGCGCGCGGGAGCUGCGGAGGGAGGGUGUCGCGCCGAGGGAAGCGGCCCGCGGCGGAGGGAGGGAAGGCCGAGUCCUGGAAGCGGAGCUCCGCGCUGGGACUGGUUCCUUCGCAGCCAUUUUCUGUCCAACCAAACAGCCGAUUGGAGACGGGAGCCAACCAGGGCUGCAUUGGAGGUUGAAAUUGGCAAAGAUCAGACACCUUUUUAGACAGGUGUUCUGGAGUAGCACUGACAACACGGUUCACCCAGUAUUUCAUGACAGUCUUUACAUCUAAGUCCUCUGCUCACCCAUCUUACCAGUAAGUAGCAGGUGAUCUGAUUCCAGAACCUAUGCCUUGGAAAUAAGAAUAGGCUGCACUCUGUACCCCUCCCUCCCCCACCCCCCAGUGUAUGUAACAUUCGUCUUCUCUGCAAGUGGAGGACAGAGACCUUGUCUUUGCUGUUGACCUGUGAUGUUAGCACAUAGCACAAACCUAAUAAAUAGGAAGUGCUUACUCA